This 893-nucleotide ribosomal RNA is filed under the name uncultured bacterium. RNAcentral describes it as "bacterial SSU rRNA". It matches the Rfam family "Bacterial small subunit ribosomal RNA", at positions 8 to 916 of the family's 1533-position model. The record is from RNAcentral.
AGAGUUUGAUCCUGGCUCAGGACGAACGCUGGCGGCGUGCUUAACACAUGCAAGUCGAACGGAAAGGCCCUGCUUGCAGGGUACUCGAGUGGCGAACGGGUGAGUAACACGUGGGUGAUCUGCCCUGCACUUCGGGAUAAGCCUGGGAAACUGGGUCUAAUACCGGAUAGGGGCCAUUUUUAGUGUGAUGGUUGGAAAGUUUUUUCGGUGUAGGAUGAGCUCGCGGCCUAUCAGCUUGUUGGUGGGGUAAUGGCCUACCAAGGCGGCGACGGGUAGCCGGCCUGAGAGGGUGGACGGCCACAUUGGGACUGAGAUACGGCCCAGACUCCUACGGGAGGCAGCAGUGGGGAAUAUUGCACAAUGGGCGCAAGCCUGAUGCAGCGACGCCGCGUGGGGGAUGACGGCCUUCGGGUUGUAAACUCCUUUCGCUAGGGACGAAGCUUUUGUGACGGUACCUAGAUAAGAAGCACCGGCUAACUACGUGCCAGCAGCCGCGGUAAUACGUAGGGUGCGAGCGUUGUCCGGAAUUACUGGGCGUAAAGGGCUCGUAGGUGGUUUGUCGCGUCGUCUGUGAAAUUCCGGGGCUUAACUCCGGGCGUGCAGGCGAUACGGGCAUAACUUGAGUACUGUAGGGGUAACUGGAAUUCCUGGUGUAGCGGUGAAAUGCGCAGAUAUCAGGAGGAACACCGAUGGCGAAGGCAGGUUACUGGGCAGUUACUGACGCUGAGGAGCGAAAGCAUGGGUAGCGAACAGGAUUAGAUACCCUGUAGUCCAUGCCGUAAACGGUGGGCGCUAGGUGUGAGGUCUUUUCACGACUUUCGUGCCGUAGCUAACGCAUUAAGCGCCCCGCCUGGGGAGUACGGCCGCAAGGCUAAACUCAGAGGAAUUGACGG